This 1708-nucleotide ribosomal RNA is filed under the name Escherichia coli. RNAcentral describes it as "partial 23S ribosomal RNA". It matches the Rfam family "Bacterial large subunit ribosomal RNA", at positions 1240 to 2925 of the family's 2925-position model. Lineage: Bacteria; Pseudomonadati; Pseudomonadota; Gammaproteobacteria; Enterobacterales; Enterobacteriaceae. The record is from RNAcentral.
UCUGUAAGCCUGUGAAGGUGUACUGUGAGGUAUGCUGGAGGUAUCAGAAGUGCGAAUGCUGACAUAAGUAACGAUAAAGCGGGUGAAAAGCCCGCUCGCCGGAAGACCAAGGGUUCCUGUCCAACGUUAAUCGGGGCAGGGUGAGUCGACCCCUAAGGCGAGGCCGAAAGGCGUAGUCGAUGGGAAACAGGUUAAUAUUCCUGUACUUGGUGUUACUGCGAAGGGGGGACGGAGAAGGCUAUGUUGGCCGGGCGACGGUUGUCCCGGUUUAAGCGUGUAGGCUGGUUUUCCAGGCAAAUCCGGAAAAUCAAGGCUGAGGCGUGAUGACGAGGCACUACGGUGCUGAAGCGACAAAUGCCCUGCUUCCAGGAAAAGCCUCUAAGCAUCAGGUAACAUCAAAUCGUACCCCAAACCGACACAGGUGGUCAGGUAGAGAAUACCAAGGCGCUUGAGAGAACUCGGGUGAAGGAACUAGGCAAAAUGGUGCCGUAACUUCGGGAGAAGGCACGCUGAUAUGUAGGUGAAGCGACUUGCUCGUGGAGCUGAAAUCAGUCGAAGAUACCAGCUGGCUGCAACUGUUUAUUAAAAACACAGCACUGUGCAAACACGAAAGUGGACGUAUACGGUGUGACGCCUGCCCGGUGCCGGAAGGUUAAUUGAUGGGGUUAGCGGUAACGCGAAGCUCUUGAUCGAAGCCCCGGUAAACGGCGGCCGUAACUAUAACGGUCCUAAGGUAGCGAAAUUCCUUGUCGGGUAAGUUCCGACCUGCACGAAUGGCGUAAUGAUGGCCAGGCUGUCUCCACCCGAGACUCAGUGAAAUUGAACUCGCUGUGAAGAUGCAGUGUACCCGCGGCAAGACGGAAAGACCCCGUGAACCUUUACUAUAGCUUGACACUGAACAUUGAGCCUUGAUGUGUAGGAUAGGUGGGAGGCUUUGAAGUGUGGACGCCAGUCUGCAUGGAGCCGACCUUGAAAUACCACCCUUUAAUGUUUGAUGUUCUAACGUGGGCCCCUUACCGGGGUUGCGGACAGUGUCUGGUGGGUAGUUUGACUGGGGCGGUCUCCUCCUAAAGAGUAACGGAGGAGCACGAAGGUUGGCUAAUCCUGGUCGGACAUCAGGAGGUUAGUGCAAUGGCAUAAGCCAGCUUGACUGCGAGCGUGACGGCGCGAGCAGGUGCGAAAGCAGGUCAUAGUGAUCCGGUGGUUCUGAAUGGAAGGGCCAUCGCUCAACGGAUAAAAGGUACUCCGGGGAUAACAGGCUGAUACCGCCCAAGAGUUCAUAUCGACGGCGGUGUUUGGCACCUCGAUGUCGGCUCAUCACAUCCUGGGGCUGAAGUAGGUCCCAAGGGUAUGGCUGUUCGCCAUUUAAAGUGGUACGCGAGCUGGGUUUAGAACGUCGUGAGACAGUUCGGUCCCUAUCUGCCGUGGGCGCUGGAGAACUGAGGGGGGCUGCUCCUAGUACGAGAGGACCGGAGUGGACGCAUCACUGGUGUUCGGGUUGUCAUGCCAAUGGCACUGCCCGGUAGCUAAAUGCGGAAGAGAUAAGUGCUGAAAGCAUCUAAGCACGAAACUUGCCCCGAGAUGAGUUCUCCCUGACUCCUUGAGAGUCCUGAAGGAACGUUGAAGACGACGACGUUGAUAGGCCGGGUGUGUAAGCGCAGCGAUGCGUUGAGCUAACCGGUACUAAUGAACCGUGAGGCUUAACCUU